AGCGAACGCUGGCGGCAGGCCUAACACAUGCAAGUCGAACGGACCCUUCGGGGUUAGUGGCGGACGGGUGAGUAACACGUGGGAACGUGCCUUUAGGUUCGGAAUAGCUCCUGGAAACGGGUGGUAAUGCCGAAUGUGCCCUUCGGGGGAAAGAUUUAUCGCCUUUAGAGCGGCCCGCGUCUGAUUAGCUAGUUGGUGAGGUAACGGCUCACCAAGGCGACGAUCAGUAGCUGGUCUGAGAGGAUGACCAGCCACACUGGGACUGAGACACGGCCCAGACUCCUACGGGAGGCAGCAGUGGGGAAUCUUGCGCAAUGGGCGAAAGCCUGACGCAGCCAUGCCGCGUGAAUGAUGAAGGUCUUAGGAUUGUAAAAUUCUUUCACCGGGGACGAUAAUGACGGUACCCGGAGAAGAGGCCCCGGCUAACUUCGUG
This 433-nucleotide ribosomal RNA is filed under the name uncultured bacterium. RNAcentral's name for it is "partial 16S ribosomal RNA". It matches the Rfam family "Bacterial small subunit ribosomal RNA", at positions 29 to 507 of the family's 1533-position model. The record is from RNAcentral.